This 25-nucleotide non-coding RNA is filed under the name Rattus norvegicus (Norway rat). Lineage: Eukaryota; Metazoa; Chordata; Mammalia; Rodentia; Muridae. The record is from RNAcentral.
GACACAGAAAGGGUCGCGAGCGCGC